RNA transcript from Carlito syrichta (Philippine tarsier), 551 nucleotides. It is a transcript of the gene named SH3 domain-binding glutamic acid-rich-like protein pseudogene, with no coding region annotated. The transcript has a single exon. NCBI's taxonomy places the organism in Eukaryota, Metazoa, Chordata, Mammalia, Primates, Tarsiidae. The record is from RefSeq and is a predicted model, not a curated record.
UUUCCAGGCCCAAAACAACCGCAGCUGCUGUUCCCGGCAUGGUGAUCCUUGCAUAUAUUGCAUCCUCCCUUGACUCUACAGCGAUCACGAAGAGACAGCAAGAUGUGCUUGGUUUCUUAGAAGCCAACAAAAUAGGAUUUGAAGGAAAAGAUGUUGCAGCCAAUGAAGAGAAUCAGAAGUGGAUGAGAGGAAACAUACCUGAAAAUAGUCGACCAGCCACAGGGUAUCCCUGGCCACCUCACAUGUUCAAUGAAAGCCAGCACUGUGGGAACUGUGAUGCCUUCUUUGAAGCCAGAGAAGAUAAUGCAGCAUAUGCCUUUUUAGACUUGACAGCCCCACCUGGUUCAAGGGAAACAGAAGCCCAAGCAAAGCAGCCAGCAUAAUCUUUAAGGAUUCUGCCUUAAGCAUCCUGAAUCUCUGUUGCUUUCAUAAACUAACAGAAUCAUCUUGGCUUCAAAAGACAUCUUGGCUUAAUGUUGACAUGAUAGAGUAGUUGGUGUUUUCGCAUGCAAAUAAUACAAAUGAAUGCAUAAUUAAAUAUAAGCUUUAUG